CUUUAAUAUCUGGAGCUCAUAGGUGGGAGAUAAUGUAUACACACUUACAAGACAUUUAUUGUAUAGUCAAGCCAUGGAUCCAGAGAAACAAGUCAAUAAGUCAAAUCAAGAUGUGCAUGUGUGGCGAAUGAAUGGUAUAUGAUGAUGAUGGUGAUAGCAAUGGUGAAAGUCUAAUUCUACUUUUGCUCUUUUGAGGGGAUACAUACCUUUCUUGCUCUUUUGAAACUUUUUGAGGAGAAUGAGAUGCUCUAUAUUUUCUCUUUUUUUUUCUUUCCUCUCAGGUGGGUAUCUUGUACCCCUAAUUAUACUGUCGGACACUUGUAACACCCCAGUGUUAUGGUUGCAUAAAUCACAUGCAUAACAUGAGCAUCAUUACUUACUCAAGCAUAUCAUGAUCAUCAUUUACCUUGAGCCAUGUCAUUCUAUGCAAAAAUGUGAUUUAAGUGGUUUAAAUAGGCUUCCUAUGUUUAUGUUUGUGUGAACCAUGCUUGUGUUUGUGCUCUAUGCCUUGGUAAUUAGUUUAUCUAUGCUUAACUCAACCUUAGGAACAAUGUUCAUGUUGAUCACUUUUCCAAAAUAAUCACUUAUGUCAUACUUACACAAAUAGGCCCUAGAAACCUCUGUUGCUUAGGCUUUUAAAAAGUGUUUCAUAAAAUGUUUGCAUG
This 665-nucleotide long non-coding RNA is filed under the name Sorghum bicolor (sorghum). RNAcentral describes it as "long non-coding RNA (SBIC_LNC006705)". Lineage: Eukaryota; Viridiplantae; Streptophyta; Magnoliopsida; Poales; Poaceae. The record is from RNAcentral.